RNAcentral lists this ribosomal RNA (253 nucleotides) under uncultured bacterium. Its description in RNAcentral is "partial 16S ribosomal RNA". It matches the Rfam family "Bacterial small subunit ribosomal RNA", at positions 524 to 776 of the family's 1533-position model. The record is from RNAcentral.
UACGGAGGGUGCGAGCGUUACCCGGAUUUACUGGGUGUAAAGGGCGUGUAGGCGGUCUCUCAAGUCCGAUGCUAAAGACCGAAGCUCAACUUCGGGGGUGCGUUGGAUACUGUGAGGCUAGACGGUCGGAGAGGGUAGCGGAAUUUCCGGAGUAGCGGUGAAAUGCGCAGAUACCGGAAGGAACGCCAAUAGCGAAAGCAGCUACCUUGACGAUUGGUGACGCUGAGGCGCGAAAGCGUGGGGAGCAAACCGG